This 459-nucleotide ribosomal RNA is filed under the name uncultured bacterium. RNAcentral describes it as "partial 16S ribosomal RNA". It matches the Rfam family "Bacterial small subunit ribosomal RNA", at positions 338 to 795 of the family's 1533-position model. The record is from RNAcentral.
CCUAGGGGUGGCAGCAGUGAGGAAUAUUGGUCAAUGGGAGAGAGCCUGAACCAGCCAAGCCGCGUGAGGGAAGACGGCCCUAUGGGUUGUAAACCUCUUUUGUCGGAGAACAAAACCCGGGACGUGUCCCGGAAUGCGUGUAUCCGAAGAAAAAGCAUCGGCUAACUCCGUGCCAGCAGCCGCGGUAAUACGGAGGAUGCGAGCGUUAUCCGGAUUUAUUGGGUUUAAAGGGUGCGUAGGCGGUCCGUUAAGUCAGCGGUAAAAUUGCGGGGCUCAACCCCGUCGAGCCGUUGAAACUGGCAGACUUGAGUUGGCGAGAGGUACGCGGAAUGCGCGGUGUAGCGGUGAAAUGCAUAGAUAUCGCGCAGAACUCCGAUUGCGAAGGCAGCGUACCGGCGCCAGACUGACGCUGAGGCACGAAAGCGUGGGGAUCGAACAGGAUUAGAUACCCUUGUAGUC